RNAcentral lists this unclassified non-coding RNA (377 nucleotides) under uncultured Gammaproteobacteria bacterium. RNAcentral describes it as "contains 16S-23S intergenic spacer region". Lineage: Bacteria; Pseudomonadati; Pseudomonadota; Gammaproteobacteria. The record is from RNAcentral.
UCCGGCUUAUCACCGGCAGUUUCUUUAGAGUGCUCAACUAAAUGGUAGCAACUAAAGACGAGGGUUGCGCUCGUUGCGGGACUUAACCCAACAUCUCACGACACGAGCUGACGACAGCCAUGCAGCACCUGUGUUCCGAUUCCCUUUCGGGCACAACCGCAUCUCUGCGGCCUCUCGGACAUGUCAAGGGUAGGUAAGGUUUUUCGCGUUGCAUCGAGUUAAUCCACAUAAUCCACCGCUUGUGCGGGUCCCCGUCAAUUCCUUUGAGUUUUAGCCUUGCGGCCGUACUCCCCAGGCGGUCAACUUCGCGCGUUAGCUUCGUUACCAAGGAAUUACUUCCCCGACAACCAGUUGACAUCGUUUAGGGCGUGGACUAC